GAAAAAGUACUGCAAGAACUGCUAACUCAUGCUCCCAUGCAUAAAAGCAUGGCUUUUUCA
RNAcentral lists this transfer RNA (60 nucleotides) under Urocyon littoralis littoralis. Its description in RNAcentral is "tRNA-Ser". RNAcentral also lists the same sequence under 3 other names. Lineage: Eukaryota; Metazoa; Chordata; Mammalia; Carnivora; Canidae. The record is from RNAcentral.